Molecule: long non-coding RNA, 362 nt
Organism: Centruroides sculpturatus (bark scorpion)
Lineage: Eukaryota; Metazoa; Arthropoda; Arachnida; Scorpiones; Buthidae
Exons: 2
Source: RefSeq, a predicted model, not a curated record
UCCUGAAAAAGUGUAUAAUCGUGGGAAAAUUUUACUGAAAUUAGUAACUCCAUUCAAGAUAUCAACAAAAGGCCAUGUAGAUUUAAAAUCAUUGUAUAAGUUUGGAAGAUGGCUUCAUUCUAAAAUAGAAAUACUGAAAACUAGAAUUCAUUCAGUUAAAAGAGAUCGUAAUCAUCCUAUUAAACAAAUUAUGAAAUCUCUUAGAAAAAUUACAAGAAGAGAGGAAGAAUAUUUUAAAAGAAUGUAUAGUCAGGCUGAAGAAAAUUUGAAAGAAAUUCGACAUCUUCUCAAUCCAUUUGUAGAACCUACUGUUGAAAUGCUUUAUAAUAUCAAAGAAAUAAUUAUUGUUAAUGCACAUCACU